UUUAAAAGUUCACAUUAAUAUACAAGUCAACACUUUUAUUCAAAGUCUAGUUAUAUUUUUCAAAUCAGCUCUUGUGUAGGGGUCCUUGUGUUUUGUUUGUUAUCGAUUCUGAUGGGUAGCGCCUUAGUAACCGCCAUAUUAGCAGCCGACCAGCGUAACUUCACUGCAAAUAGAAUCUCUAACCGAGAGGCUUCACUGCACUUUAUAAAUUACAUUUAAAGAUGGGGAAUGUAUGCUGCAGUGGUAAAGGAAAUGGGGGAGUCAUGAAAGAAGUCAACAAAUUCUGUAAGUGUGGAGGACCCCGCCCACAUUCCGGACACAGCCGAAAGGGCUCCGGACAUAGCCGAAAAGGCUCCGGAAAAGGCCGAAAGAAAGGACACCAUAAGCGCAGAGGAUCAGGGUCUUCCAAAGGAUCGCAUUGACCUCACCCGACCUAGGUCUUUGUUUUGUAAAUAUCACUGUUUUUGACUGUUAACCGCACCGACUUAAAAUCUGACAUAUACUCCUAAGAUUUGUUGAAACAUUAAUUAUGUUAGGGAAUGUGAAAGAUGCUACUCCAAAUACAUAUUUAGUUAACUUUGACGAUUGAAAACCGUGAAAAAAAUCCAACUCAAAGCGCCAGUAUGUGAUAACUGAAAAUAUUCCAAAGACAAAGAUUCAAUUAAGCAUUUAAAUUUUUGCACUUGUGAACAUAAUAUGUGGUCAUUAUUUUAUGAAUACACAUGCAUGUCCAUCCAGUAUUAAAACACAUUAUAGUGCCAUAAAAAAAUUUCCUAAA
Saccostrea cuccullata (small rock oyster) is the source of this 778-nucleotide long non-coding RNA. RefSeq lists it as uncharacterized. The transcript is spliced from 2 exons. NCBI's taxonomy places the organism in Eukaryota, Metazoa, Mollusca, Bivalvia, Ostreida, Ostreidae. The record is from RefSeq and is a predicted model, not a curated record.